RNAcentral lists this ribosomal RNA (253 nucleotides) under uncultured bacterium. Its description in RNAcentral is "partial 16S ribosomal RNA". It matches the Rfam family "Bacterial small subunit ribosomal RNA", at positions 524 to 776 of the family's 1533-position model. The record is from RNAcentral.
UACGUAGGGCGCAAGCGUUGUCCGGAAUUAUUGGGCGUAAAGAGCGUGUAGGCGGCCAGGUAGGUCGGUUGUGAAAACUAGAGGCUUAACCUCUAGACGUCGACCGAAACCAUCUGGCUAGAGUCCGGAAGAGGAGAGUGGAAUUCCUGGUGUAGCGGUGAAAUGCGCAGAUAUCAGGAAGAACACCCGUGGCUAAGGCGGCUCUCUAGUACGGUACUGACGCUGAGACGCGAAAGCGUGGGGAGCGAACAGG